CAGAGACUCUGUAAUCAGCUGAAGAUUUAACUUUAUUGCUAUUUCCCUGCAGAAUUAUCUGCCUGAUGAUAAGUACAACAAGCAACCCAAUCAGAAAUGUAACUAUAAAGAUUAUGGAAAACACUCUAAAGUAGCUUCGUCCAGAGAAACAUUCUGAAGUUUGGUCAACGUAAUGCAAUAGGUAAGCACAUGAGGUUUUACACUGGUCAAGUUUAGCUUGAGAUGCAUUGUUAGAAUGGUGGCACUGAACACAAUUCCAGUUUUCUUCACAGGCUGUGUUACAAGCAGGGCAGUAUUCACACAAACGGCCAAAGCUUCUUGGGUCAGUGCACUCACAUUUUCCACAUACACAGUUUCCUCUUCCA
This 365-nucleotide long non-coding RNA is filed under the name Gallus gallus (chicken). Lineage: Eukaryota; Metazoa; Chordata; Aves; Galliformes; Phasianidae. The record is from RNAcentral.